GCUGUGGCUCAGUGGAACAGCAUCUGCUUUGCAUUCAGGAGGUCUCAGGUUCAAUCCCUGGCAUCUCCA
RNAcentral lists this transfer RNA (69 nucleotides) under Sphaerodactylus townsendi. Its description in RNAcentral is "tRNA-Ala". It matches the Rfam family "tRNA". Rfam says of the family: Transfer RNA (tRNA) molecules are approximately 80 nucleotides in length. Their secondary structure includes four short double-helical elements and three loops (D, anti-codon, and T loops). The record is from RNAcentral. Lineage: Eukaryota; Metazoa; Chordata; Lepidosauria; Squamata; Sphaerodactylidae.